CAAGAUAGAAGUUUAUAAGAUUAUGCGUGGCAUGGAGGAAGUGGACAAGUCUUUUUCCUUCUCUCACAAUGCAAGAACGCAUGGACAUCCAAUGUUGGGAGAUUCAGGACAGAUAAAAUAAAGUAAUUCUUCAUUCUGUGCACAGUUAGACUGUGGAACUCACUCCCACAGGAGGCAGGGCAGGCCACCAACCUAGAUGGCAUUUAAAGAGGAGGAGGAGAAGAAGAAGAAGAAGAAGAAGAAGAAGAAGAAGAAGAGGAGGAGGAGUUUGGAUUUGAUAUCCCGCUUUAUCACUACCUGAAGGAGUCUCAAAGCGGCUAACAUUCUCCUUUCCCUUCCUCCCCCACAACAAACACUCUGUGAGGUGAGUGGAGCUGAGAGACUUCAAAGAAGUAUGACUGGCCCAAGGUCACCCAGCAGCUGCAUGUGGAGGAGCGGAGACGUGAACCCGGUUCCCCAGAUUACGAGUCCACCGCUCUUAACCACUACACCACGCUGGCUCUCGUAUGAAGUAGUCAACUUCAUGCAACUGCUGUCAUCUCUAACCAUUAGUUAUGUCAGCUGGGCCUGAUGGGAGUUUGAAUCUAGCAAUAUCUGGAGGGCCGCAGGUUCCCCAGGGGAGAUAAAUUUGAUUCACUUCACAUUUGAAAGAGAAUUUAUUAAAUUUGCAUUUUGCAAAACAAUAUGAGAAUCAAAAUGCAGCCAUCCUUAGAAAUUCACACGUCUGUGAAUUUUAGGGUGUCAUUCCCCAACCAGUGUUUACAAAAAUGCAUAUAUUAGGGGGAAUGUGCAUUAAAAAUGAAUACAAAGUAUUCAUGUAGAUAACAUGCAAAAUGCAUUAUAACAGGGGAACUGCUUGCAAAAAUGUGUGCUUUAGUCAAUACUGCAUACAAAAAUGUGCUUAUUAGGAGGAAUUUUAUGAUUUUUCUUGAGGGUUUUAAAUAUAUAUUUGCAAAUUGCUGUAGAACUCUAGAGAACUUAAGAUUGGAAAAAUGAAAAAGGGAGCGAACAGAAAUCUACAGAUUGUUCCAUCCCUAUCCCAGUGUUAGAAUUCAUUUAACAAAAUGUAGUGAGGAAACCACAUUUGACAUUUUCAUCUGAUAUUAGAUUGAGUGCUUCCGUUUCUUUUCAGGGAAAAAUGAAUGAAUUUUCCUCCUUUGAAAAUAAAUGCUGAGCUGUACAACUUAGCGCUUGCUUUAAACAUACGUUUAUCUAGCAGCAUUAAACUUCCUGUUAACUUGAAGUGCUCAAAACUGCAACUUACAAUGACGUGCAGACUUUAUCUAGGCCAUAUAGAUAAGCAGGUUUUAAAACCAACAAGAAAUGGCUUCCUUUAACCUACUUGGAAGGUUCAAGAAUGCCAAGGAGAAUGACAUUUACAGUGCAGGGGAAAACUGUUCAGAAUUUACACCCACUUUACAAUUUGUUUUAUUUAGGCAAAGUUAAGUUGGUUGCAAGUUGUAGUCACCAUCUGCCACAUGUUAGACUUUGAGGAACACUGUGGGUUAUCAUAGCCACUCCUUAAAGGAGGGAUGGGGAAACAUUCUCAAUUCAAGGGCUGCAUUCUCUGUUGGGCAACAUUCCAGGGACGGCAUGCCAGUGAGUAGUGGGGCCAGUGGUAAAAGCAGGCUGUGUGUGGAGCAAUGGAUACAAUCCUUAAUCUUUGUACAGUAGGCUACAUUCCAAACAGACACCUCUCCAUAUUUGUGUCUCUCCAUCCAGGCAAGAGGCUUUAGCACAGGUGAAAGGUACAUUCUAGUCAGUCAAAAGCACUCAAGGAGAAUGCAAAGCUGGACUGGUUGAGUGUAUAGCCUUGGUCGAGAGGAAGUGGCUUGGAGCUGGGACCUUGGCAGAAUCCCAGGAACCAGGUAUGUCUGUUGGUCUGCAUUUGAUCUGGCCCUGGUCUGAGGUUCCCCAGCACUGACUUAGAGGUAGGCUUCUAGCUUCCAUAGAAGGAAUCCUUCAGUAACACUAGGCAUGGGGGAGAAAUUCAGUUCUGUUAGUAUCUGAAGGCAAAUCUAUAAAACUUGCACUUUCUGAAAGCCCCCUUUUGAAAUUUGCACUUCUCCAAAAUUUGUGCUAUUGUUUUCUGACCAAGCAAUGUUUACAAAAAAACUUCCGGGGUGGCGCCAUCGGCAAUGGCGGACUCCCUCUGAUCUGGAGGGACUAGCUCCACGCGAAACGGGUCUUUUCCGCUACGGCGAAGCGGGGACCCUUUCAAAAAUCACAGGCGGAUGAAGCCUGUGACCAUGGGACUCGGCGGGCACCUUUAGCGCCCCCCCAACCCGCAAAGGAACCCACUAACGGGCUCCGGAGCGAAGAGGGGGAAGUGGCGCGGUGCUGAGAGUCAACUGCUUCUUCCGUGGAGCGAAGCCACACAGCCGUUGCCGGAGAGCGCUGCCUUUUUCCUGGGACAAUUUGGCUUCUAAAAUAAUCACCCGUGAGUACUUAAAUUUUGGACAAUUGGACUUUAAAUAAGGACUUGCGAGCAGAAAGGAAAAUUGGACUUAAAAGUUUAUUUCAAUUUGGCACUGAAACGGGAAGGUCUAAACAGGAAGUCAGCCUUCCGUUUCUUUGUAGAUAGAUUAAAGCAAAGACAUGGCAAACUAGAGCUCAGAAAAUCGCUUGUAAAAGAUUAACUUUCAUCAUUUAAAAUUGUUGAACCCUCUUCGGAAGCAGGAGAAGAGGGGGAUUUUUUCGGACUGUUUAAACCUGCAGAAGUGAGUGUAAAGUAAAGUAACUUUCCACCGUCAUGAUCCUGGAGCGGGGUGUCAGGACUGACGAUUAUUUUUUAAGCUCAUUGACCAGAGACAAACGUUUUUGACAGAUAGCUAAAAGAAGAGAAACAUAGUGAUUCCAUUGUUCCCCUUCGCAUUUUAAAGGAACAAAUAUUGACAAAAUAUCUGAAAAAGGAAACUUUGUUGUUAGACUUGUCUUUAAAAGAAAGAACAAAUAGAAGUUUCCCCCCUAGAGGGAGACUGUGAAACUGUAACCAAUUCCGGGGAGCUUGCAGCUGUUACAGAUUACAAUCGUGGGAAUAGACUUCUGACCUUGCAGGACAAUGUAUUCAGAAGCUCUGUUGUGUGCUCUCUGUAAAACAAAUGCCCUACUGGAACAGCUACAUGAGAAGACGGACUUGAUGACUGAUGCGAUCAGAAAUUUUGAACAGGCAGUGGGAAAUUAUAUGGAGCCCACCCAGGAAUUAAAUCAGGAGUGUGCCCUGACAGAACAGAUGAGGGAAGAGGAUGUUGCUGAAUCUUGGGCGCCAGAGAUGGAGGGAGCUGUGGCCCAGCAGGAACAUGAGCUUUUGGAUUUGACAAAUGAACUUGGAAAAAGCCAGAUUUGGAAAGAUAAAGUUUGGUCUGGUUUGGAAAUGGGGGGUUGGAUAGACCCCCCUAUGCAGGGAUGUUUGGACUUUUCAAGUCUGGCAAUGGGCCAUGAGCUGUGUGGGGUUGUGGGGCUCUUAAUUUUGGAGGGACUUUGAAACAUGUUCUUAAAUACCACAUGGAGUUUAGUGUGGACUAUGGAAAAGGGGCUGAUUUGUCGAGAAGGGUCAAAAACAUUGUUAAGCUGGAGUUCCCACGAGUGAAAGGAGCAGGAGACAAAGGAAAAUACAGCUAUAAAUAUGAAGAAGAGCCGCAGAAGGGACAUGGAAGGGACUUAAGGGCCUCGGAUAUAAGAUUACCAGGUUAAUGCGCUAGAUUGAUGGGAUAAAAAGGACUGACAAAACCUGGGACCAGGAGGAAGGGACGCUGGAUGAAGAUUGGAUUGUUUUUAUUUCUUUUUUUAUUACCAGGAUUGUUUUAUAAAAUUGAUGAAUGUUAGAAAAAUGUUGGAACGAAAUUACUUGGCUUUAGCAAAAAUGUUUAAAGAAUUAUGUAAGAAUAUUAUGGUUAUGAGAAGUUGGGAAAAAUAAGAUUUAAGUUUUAAGCUUUAAGGUUUUUUAUAGUAAGAUAAGAUUAAAAUAGAUUAAGGUAAUGUAAUGACAGAAUAUUAUGAAAUAUGGAAAGGAUUUGCUGCGACAAUUAACAACUAGGAUACAAAAAAAGGGAGGAGGAGGAGGUCAAAGAAAGAAGGUAAUGACAGUUGAGGAUUUGAGAAUGAUGGAUUUGUUUUUGAGUGUUUGUGGUGUAUUUUUGUUUUUUGAAUUUGUAUUGUUUGAUGUGGUUUCUUUUUUCUUUGUUUUUUCUUUCUUUUUUUCUGCUUUGUUCUUUUUUGUAAUUUUAAAUUUUUUUUUCAAUAAAUAUCAUUUUAAAAAAAUACACAAAAAGGCAUAUAUUAGGAGGUGAAUGUACAUAGAAAUUUAUAUAUUAGUGAAACUAACAUAUGAAACACAUUAUAUUAUGGGGAAAUUGCUUGCAAAAUUGUGUACAAACGUGUUUAUUGGAAGGCAUUUGCACUAAAAUGCUGGUGAAUUUUUGUGAGGAUUCUUUUAAAAAUGGCAAAUUGCUGAAGAAAUGUGAAGAAGUUAAUUUAAGACUGGGGGAAAAUGAGAAACUGAGAGAACCAAACUUGACAGUUCCUUCCUAAAUAAAACCCAGGCCAAAGCGUCACAAAAGUUCCAAUGGCAGGUCCAGUGCAGGAUCUCGGUGAGGAGCAUCUGAUGGGGCUAUACAGAUGUGGACUUGAUCACUGGAAACCCCAUGUAAGAACAAGAUACACAUAUUUUCUAUUAAUAUAUAUUGAUAUAUUGCAUGCAUGCAUUGCCAUGUUGCCUAUGGCACAGCCUCCAAUAACACGGGGUGAUUUAAUUAACUCCUGAAAAGAAAAAAAGAAAAAAGGAAAGUUUUUAGUUGGAUCUCUCACUUGGAUGAUGUAAUUUUCUUGCUGGUUUUGAAACAACACAGAGUUAUUCAGACAAAAAGGGAAAGGAAAGAACACACACACACAGUGCAAAUCCACCAUCACACAGACCAUUGCCUAGAAGCAUCACUAAAAAGUUAAAAUUUUCCCCGGUAUUUAUUACAGUACCCAUGAACUGAGGAUAAGCUUUUACUGAGCUUAGUUCUCUUUAGUCUAUUUAUAUAGACUGAGUCCACAAGGCCUUCAAGGGACAUUGAUGGGCACUUAGCACUCUAAUAUAUAUAUCUCUCUAAUCUGGGGACUGAAUCAAUUACCCUCUACUACUUUGCAUGGUGGGCAGUAAGAACGCAACAAGAGCCAGCCAGAGUCCUGUGCAUCAUAUGAACACUGAUCCAGAGUAGUAUUUGCUUACAUGUAAGAUUGGGUAUGUAUUUUAGUUGUACAUAUUGUAUUAUGCAUUUUAUUUCAUACAGACGCAGGUUUCAUCGCAUGUAUAUUGCAAUUUCAGCUUGUUAAGAAAUUGAACUGCAUUCUUCUCAUAUUAAUUCUUACAAGUCUGGCUGAUGAAGAAUUGAUCAAGAUUGGCUGAUGAAGCAUGGAACGAAACAGAUUGGUUAUCCGGAAACUCUGUUCCGGUGAUAUUUGGUGACAGA
Molecule: long non-coding RNA, 5456 nt
Filed under: Podarcis lilfordi (Lilford's wall lizard)
Lineage: Eukaryota; Metazoa; Chordata; Lepidosauria; Squamata; Lacertidae
Source: RNAcentral